GACAGUUCACACCUGGCUGCCUGUUUUGUUAAAUCACUUGCAGCAUCCUUAGUGUCCACCAGAGAGCGCAGUUCUACGCGUCUGGUGCGGAAACAGGGAGGACAGAGCCCUUCAGCCCGCCAGGGCUUGCAGACAGCGUAGGCACACAGAAAGAAGAGAUAUCCUGAAGAUAAGACUUCCAUUUUGGUCCAUUGUGGUGUGCAGAGUGGCCUGAAACUACAACUGCUGUUUUAUAUGAGCGAUUCAAGGCAUGAUUAAUCAAUCCCAGCUCUGGACUCCUCAAUCAAUUACUUGGGCAGCCAGCCUCUGACUGAUUGGAUCCCGCAGACAAGCAUGAGCAACUGACUAUCCGGAUCAAGAGUACAGUACGGGAGGAGCCAGGACAGGACGGGAGCAAACACGUGAGGUGAGGAGGCCGCUGCCUGAGCUUGGGAGGAUAGGCUGACUUUCCUUUGUGAGCAGAUCAUAGAGGCACCAGCUGAGGUCCAGGGGAUUCUGUUCUCCUUGAGUGCUUUCCAAAACGGACACCCCCAUCGCAAAGACGAUCUUGUAACACAAGAAUGGUAGCCAGUAUGGGGGAUGCUAUACAAGGAAGCUGAAUGGUCAAAGGCAGGCCUUGGUCGAAGGCAUCCUGGGUCUGUGACUGCUCUGUAUCAUCAGGGUCCCCUGCCUGACUUGGCCCACUCCACUCCUGUUUAGACGUCUGUAGAGAACGCUGUAAUCCGGAAAUCAGAGGGCACCAACAGAAGAUACAAAGAACCAGUGACAACUCCCA
Long non-coding RNA from Mesocricetus auratus (golden hamster), 775 nucleotides. RefSeq lists it as uncharacterized. The transcript has 3 exons. Lineage: Eukaryota; Metazoa; Chordata; Mammalia; Rodentia; Cricetidae. The record is from RefSeq and is a predicted model, not a curated record.